Long non-coding RNA from Ornithodoros turicata, 388 nucleotides. RefSeq lists it as uncharacterized. The record is from RefSeq and is a predicted model, not a curated record. Lineage: Eukaryota; Metazoa; Arthropoda; Arachnida; Ixodida; Argasidae. The transcript is spliced from 4 exons.
AUUAAAGGUUAGUUCUAUGUUUGUACGAUUCGUGCAACUUUUGUUUGGUAUCAUUCCUAGCGUGUGGGUUCUAUUACUUUAUGCUAGCAGUGUGAUUAUUACCCUUUUGAUUCCUAUUACCCUAUGCUUUAUCUUUCAGCUAAGUGUACUCGUGACCCUACCAGCACUUUUCAAGAUACUUUCGACGUAUUCAUUGCGGUGAACAACGCGGUUGGGACAGCACACUCACGACGUGGGAAGGUCACAGAAAUGUUGAAAGACAUCAGAUUGGGCAUACGCUUCACCCGUGCAACUUCGUCAUGUGCUCCACGGCAGCACAAGCCUUUACGGCUGUGCCACUAUGUGUGGAAACGUCGUAGCGGAUGAAUGUGAAUUAUGGAUCUCCAAG